ACGGGAGGCAGCAGUGGGGAAUAUUGCACAAUGGGCGCAAGCCUGAUGCAGCGACGCCGCGUGAGCGAAGAAGUAUUUCGGUAUGUAAAGCUCUAUCAGCAGGGAAGAAAAUGACGGUACCUGACUAAGAAGCUCCGGCUAAAUACGUGCCAGCAGCCGCGGUAAUACGUAUGGAGCAAGCGUUAUCCGGAUUUACUGGGUGUAAAGGGAGCGUAGGCGGUAAGGCAAGUCUGAUGUGAAAACCCAGGGCUCAACCUUGGGACUGCAUUGGAAACUGUUUAACUAGAGUGUCGGAGAGGCAAGUGGAAUUCCUAGUGUAGCGGUGAAAUGCGUAGAUAUUAGGAGGAACACCAGUGGCGAAGGCGGCUUGCUGGACGAUAACUGACGCUGAGGCUCGAAAGCGUGGGGAGCAAACAGGAUUAGAUACCCUGGUA
Molecule: ribosomal RNA, 434 nt
Filed under: uncultured Lachnospiraceae bacterium
Lineage: Bacteria; Bacillati; Bacillota; Clostridia; Lachnospirales; Lachnospiraceae
Description: partial 16S ribosomal RNA
Rfam family: Bacterial small subunit ribosomal RNA
Source: RNAcentral